AACGAACGCUGGCGGCAGGCCUAACACAUGCAAGUCGAACGCCGUAGCAAUACGGAGUGGCAGACGGGUGAGUAACACGUGGGAACGUACCCUCGGUUCGGAAUAACUCAGGGAAACUUGAGCUAAUACCGGAUACGUCCGAGAGGAGAAAGAUUUAUCGCCGAGGGAUCGCCCGCGUCUGAUUAGCUUGUUGGUGAGGUAACGGCUCACCAAGGCGACGAUCAGUAGCUGGUCGG
Molecule: ribosomal RNA, 236 nt
Filed under: uncultured bacterium
Lineage: Bacteria
Description: partial 16S ribosomal RNA
Rfam family: Bacterial small subunit ribosomal RNA
Source: RNAcentral